UGGGGAAUAUUGGACAAUGGGGGCAACCCUGAUCCAGCGACGCCGCGUGAAGGAUGAAGUAUUUCGGUAUGUAAACUUCGAAAGAAUAGGAAGAAUAAAUGACGGUACUAUUUAUAAGGUCCGGCUAACUACGUGCCAGCAGCCGCGGUAAUACGUAGGGACCAAGCGUUGUUCGGAUUUACUGGGCGUAAAGGGCGCGUAGGCGGCAAUUCAAGUCAUCUGUGAAAUCUCCGGGCUUAACUCGGAACGGUCAGAUGAUACUGCUUUGCUAGAGUGCAGAAGGGGCAAUCGGAAUUCUUGGUGUAGCGGUGAAAUGCGUAGAUAUCAAGAGGAACACCUGAGGUGAAGACGGGUUGCUGGGCUGACACUGACGCUGAGGCGCGAAAGCCAGGGGAGCAAACGGGAUUAGAUACCCAAGUAGUCCCUGAGCGGGCUGGCAAGGCGCAU
This 447-nucleotide ribosomal RNA is filed under the name uncultured bacterium. RNAcentral describes it as "bacterial SSU rRNA". It matches the Rfam family "Bacterial small subunit ribosomal RNA", at positions 355 to 825 of the family's 1533-position model. The record is from RNAcentral.